This 497-nucleotide ribosomal RNA is filed under the name uncultured bacterium. RNAcentral describes it as "partial 16S ribosomal RNA". It matches the Rfam family "Bacterial small subunit ribosomal RNA", at positions 28 to 507 of the family's 1533-position model. The record is from RNAcentral.
GAUGAACGCUGGCGGCGUGCCUAAUACAUGCAAGUCGAGCGGACGGACGAGAAUCUUGCUUCUCUGAUGUUAGCGGCGGACGGGUGAGUAACACGUGGCUAACCUACCUAUAAGACUUGGAUUACUUCGGGAAACCGGAGCUAAUACCGGAUAAUAUUUUGAACCGCAUGGUUCAAAAGUGAAAGACGGUCUUGCUGUCACUUAUAGAUGGAUCCGCGCUGCAUUAGCGAGUUGGUAAGGUAACGGCUUACCAAGGCAACGAUGCAUAGCCGACCUGAGAGGGUGAACGGGCACACUGGAAGUGAGACACGGUCAAGACUCCUACGGGAGGCAGCAGUAGGGAAUCUUCCGAGAUGGGAGAAAGCCUGACGGAGCAACGCCGCGUGAGUGAUGAAGGUCUGCGGAUCGUAAAACUCUGUUAUUAGGGAAGAACAUAUGUGUAAGUAACUGUGCACAGCGUGACGGUACCUAAUCAGAAAGCCACGGCUAACUACGUG